AUACAUGCAAGUCGAACGAGAACGACCGGUGCUUGCACUGGUCAAUCUAGUGGCGAACGGGUGAGUAACACGUGGGUAACCUGCCCAUCAGAGGGGGAUAACAUUCGGAAACGGAUGCUAAAACCGCAUAGGCCCUUUAACCGCAUGGUUGAAGGAGGAAAAGAGGCGCAAGCUUCUGCUGAUGGAUGGACCCGCGGUGCAUUAGCUAGUUGGUGAGGUAACGGCUCACCAAGGCCGUGAUGCAUAGCCGACCUGAGAGGGUGAUCGGCCACAUUGGGACUGAGACACGGCCCAAACUCCUACGGGAGGCAGCAGUAGGGAAUCUUCCGCAAUGGACGCAAGUCUGACGGAGCAACGCCGCGUGAGUGAAGAAGGUUUUCGGAUCGUAAAACUCUGUUGUUAGAGAAGAACAAGUGCUAGAGUAACUGUUAGCGCCUUGACGGUAUCUAACCAGAAAGCCACGGCUAACUACGUGCCAGCAGCCGCGGUAAUACGUAGGUGGCAAGCGUUGUCCGGAUUUAUUGGGCGUAAAGCGAGCGCAGGCGGUUCCUUAAGUCUGAUGUGAAAGCCCCCGGCUCAACCGGGGAGGGUCAUUGGAAACUGGGGAACUUGAGUGCAGAAGAGGAGAGUGGAAUUCCAUGUGUAGCGGUGAAAUGCGUAGAUAUAUGGAGGAACACCAGUGGCGAAGGCGACUCUCUGGUCUGUAACUGACGCUGAGGCUCGAAAGCGUGGGUAGCAAACAGGAUUAGAUACCCUGGUAGUCCACGCCGUAAACGAUGAGUGCUAAGUGUUGGAGGGUUUCCGCCCUUCAGUGCUGCAGUUAACGCAUUAAGCACUCCG
This 840-nucleotide ribosomal RNA is filed under the name uncultured Granulicatella sp. RNAcentral's name for it is "bacterial SSU rRNA". It matches the Rfam family "Bacterial small subunit ribosomal RNA", at positions 51 to 871 of the family's 1533-position model. The record is from RNAcentral. Lineage: Bacteria; Bacillati; Bacillota; Bacilli; Lactobacillales; Carnobacteriaceae.